RNAcentral lists this ribosomal RNA (634 nucleotides) under uncultured bacterium. Its description in RNAcentral is "bacterial SSU rRNA". The stretch from base 1 to 530 matches the Rfam family "Bacterial small subunit ribosomal RNA", at positions 338 to 873 of the family's 1533-position model. The record is from RNAcentral.
CCUACGGGAGGCAGCAGUGAGGAAUAUUGGACAAUGGGCGCAAGCCUGAUCCAGCCAUGCCGCGUGCAGGAAGAAGCAUCUAUGGUGUGUAAACUGCUUUUGUACAGGAAGAAACACUCCCUCGUGAGGGAGCUUGACGGUACUGUAAGAAUAAGGACCGGCUAACUCCGUGCCAGCAGCCGCGGUAAUACGGAGGUCCGAGCGUUAUCCGGAAUCAUUGGGUUUAAAGGGUCCGUAGGCGGUUUAAUAAGUCAGUGGUGAAAUCUGGUCGCUCAACGAUCAAACGGCCAUUGAUACUGUUAGACUUGAAUUAUAAGGAAGUAACUAGAAUAUGUAGUGUAGCGGUGAAAUGCUUAGAUAUUACAUGGAAUACCAAUUGCGAAGGCAGGUUACUACUUAUGGAUUGACGCUGAUGGACGAAAGCGUGGGGAGCGAACAGGAUUAGAUACCCUGGUAGUCCACGCCGUAAACGAUGGAUACUAGNUGUGUAGNANAUNAGUGNGUAGAGAAGAGAGUAAGUAAGUACCACCGUACGGGAGGUACGGUUAACGGUCGAAGAAAGUUAAGUAAACGUUAAAAGGUUAAAAGUUAAGUUAGGACGNGAGAGAGCGACGGACGACGACGAGGGAGGAGG